This 820-nucleotide ribosomal RNA is filed under the name uncultured Bacillota bacterium. RNAcentral describes it as "bacterial SSU rRNA". It matches the Rfam family "Bacterial small subunit ribosomal RNA", at positions 80 to 902 of the family's 1533-position model. The record is from RNAcentral. Lineage: Bacteria; Bacillati; Bacillota.
UAGCAAUACUGGCGCACGGCGCACGGGUGAGUAACACGUGGGCAACCUGCCCUACAGAGGGGGAUACCCCCGCGAAAGCGGGACUAAUACCGCAUGAUAUUCCGGUGGCUUCGGCUGCUGGACUCAAAGUCCGCAAGGACGCUGUUGGAGGGGCCCGCGCCCGAUUAGCUAGUUGGUGAGGUAACGGCUCACCAAGGCAAUGAUCGGUAGUCGGUCUGAGAGGAUGAUCGACCACACUGGAACUGAGACACGGUCCAGACUCCUACGGGAGGCAGCAGUGGGGAAUAUUGCGCAAUGGGCGAAAGCCUGACGCAGCGACGCCGCGUGGGGGAUGAAGCUUUUCGGAGUGUAAACCCCUUUCGAUCCGGACGAAUGUCCCGCAAGGGAUUGACGGUACGGGUAUAAGAAGCCCCGGCUAACUACGUGCCAGCAGCCGCGGUAAUACGUAGGGGGCCAGCGUUGCUCGGAAUUACUGGGCGUAAAGGGUUCGUAGGCGGUGUGGCAAGUCGGAAGUGAAACCUCCAGGCUUAACUUGGAGACUGCUCCCGAAACUGCCAUGCUAGAGUGCGGGAGAGGCCAGUGGAAUUGCAGGUGUAGCGGUGAAAUGCGUAGAUAUCUGCAGGAACACCCGUGGCGAAGGCGGCUGGCUGGACCGCAACUGACGCUGAGGAACGAAAGCUAGGGGAGCAAACAGGAUUAGAUACCCUGGUAGUCCUAGCCCUAAACGAUCAGGACUUGGGGUGCAUCCCGUUGGGGGUGCGUCCCGUAGCUAACGCGUUAAGUCCUGCGCCUGGGGAGUACGGUCGCAAGGCUGAAACUC